This is a long non-coding RNA of Dryobates pubescens (Downy woodpecker), 221 nucleotides long. RefSeq lists it as uncharacterized. The record is from RefSeq and is a predicted model, not a curated record. NCBI's taxonomy places the organism in Eukaryota, Metazoa, Chordata, Aves, Piciformes, Picidae. The transcript has 3 exons.
CCGCCCCUCUGCCGCCCCCUCCCCGCCGCGGUUCCCGGUCCCGGUUCGGGCGGCGGCGGCGGGAGCGGGGAGGGGGCGGCGGCGGCGGCCCCGCAGACCCCCAGCGAGCUGAGGAUGAUCGGGGGGGUCCCAAGAGCUUUCCCUCCCCCCCCAGCAGCUCAGGGGUGCUGGGAGCUGAGCUGAGGGUCCCUAAGCUGCUGGUUUGUGUGUGACACCUCCCC